This 497-nucleotide ribosomal RNA is filed under the name uncultured bacterium. RNAcentral's name for it is "partial 16S ribosomal RNA". It matches the Rfam family "Bacterial small subunit ribosomal RNA", at positions 28 to 507 of the family's 1533-position model. The record is from RNAcentral.
GAUGAACGCUGGCGGCGUGCCUAAUACAUGCAAGUCGAGCGAACGGACGAGAAGCUUGCUUCUCUGAUGUUAGCGGCGGACGGGUGAGUAACACGUGGAUAACCUACCUAUAAGACUGGGAUAACUUCGGGAAACCGGAGCUAAUACCGGAUAAUAUUUUGAACCGCAUGGUUCAAAAGUAAAAGACGGUCUUGCUGUCACUUAUAGAUGAAUCCGCGCUGCAUUAGCUAGUUGGUAAGGUAACGGCUUACCAAGGCAACGAUGCAUAGCCGACCUGAGAGGGUGAUCGGCCACACUGGAACUGAGACACGGUCCAGACUCCUACGGGAGGCAGCAGUAGGGAAUCUUCCGCAAUGGGCGAAAGCCUGACGGAGCAACGCCGCGUGAGUGAUGAAGGUCUUCGGAUCGUAAAACUCUGUUAUUAGGGAAGAACAUAUGUGUAAGUAACUGUGCACAUCUUGACGGUACCUAAUCAGAAAGCCACGGCUAACUACGUG